GACGAACGCUGGCGGCGUGCCUAAUACAUGCAAGUUGAGCGCUGAAGGUUGGUACUUGUACCAACUGGAUGAGCAGCGAACGGGUGAGUAACGCGUGGGGAAUCUGCCUUUGAGCGGGGGACAACAUUUGGAAACGAAUGCUAAUACCGCAUAAAAACUUUAAACACAAGUUUUAAGUUUGAAAGAUGCAAUUGCAUCACUCAAAGAUGAUCCCGCGUUGUAUUAGCUAGUUGGUGAGGUAAAGGCUCACCAAUGCGAUGAUACAUAGCCGACCUGGGAGGGUGAUCGGCCACAUUGGGACUGAGACACGGCCCAAACUCCUACGGGAGGCAGCAGUAGGGAAUCUUCGGCAAUGGACGAAAGUCUGACCGAGCAACGCCGCGUGAGUGAAGAAGGUUUUCGGAUCGUAAAACUCUGUUGGUAGAGAAGAACGUUGGUGAGAGUGGAAAGCUCAUCAAGUGACGGUAACUACCCAGAAAGGGACGGCUAACUACGUG
Molecule: ribosomal RNA, 497 nt
Filed under: uncultured bacterium
Lineage: Bacteria
Description: partial 16S ribosomal RNA
Rfam family: Bacterial small subunit ribosomal RNA
Source: RNAcentral